AGUGAACGCUGGCGGCAUGCCUAACACAUGCAAGUCGAACGCUAACACAGUAUGAUCGUGCCCUCAGGGGGGGCGAGUGACGGGCGAGUGACGCGUACAGCGGCUUCUUCUUUUCGGGGGGGGAUAACGUAGGACAACUUAUGAUACUACCUCAUACCUUUAACGAGAGAAAUCAGGUGUGAAAGGUACAUUUGCCGCACGAAUGAGCGGAUGCCCGAUUAGUUAGUUGGCUGGGUAAAGGCCGACCAAGGCGACGAUCCGUAGCUGGCCUGAGAGGAUGAUCAGCCACACUGGAACUGAGACACGGUCCAGACUCCUACGGGAGGCAGCAGUGGGGAAUAUUGGACAAUGGGCGCAAGCCUGAUCCAGCCAUACCGCGUGGGUGAAGAAGGCCUUCGGGUUGUAAAGCCCUUUUGUUGGGAAAGAAAAGCAGCAGGUUAAUACCCCGCUGUUCUGACGGUACCCAAAGAAUAAGCACCGGCUAACUUCGUG
RNAcentral lists this ribosomal RNA (492 nucleotides) under uncultured bacterium. Its description in RNAcentral is "partial 16S ribosomal RNA". It matches the Rfam family "Bacterial small subunit ribosomal RNA", at positions 29 to 507 of the family's 1533-position model. The record is from RNAcentral.